Molecule: ribosomal RNA, 610 nt
Filed under: uncultured bacterium
Lineage: Bacteria
Description: bacterial SSU rRNA
Rfam family: Bacterial small subunit ribosomal RNA (bases 1-503)
Source: RNAcentral
CCUACGGGAGGCAGCAGUGGGGAAUAUUGGACAAUGGGCGAAAGCCUGAUCCAGCCAUGCCGCGUGUGUGAAGAAGGUCUUCGGAUUGUAAAGCACUUUAAGUUGGGAGGAAGGGUUGUAGAUUAAUACUCUGCAAUUUUGACGUUACCGACAGAAUAAGCACCGGCUAACUCUGUGCCAGCAGCCGCGGUAAUACAGAGGGUGCAAGCGUUAAUCGGAAUUACUGGGCGUAAAGCGCGCGUAGGUGGUUUGUUAAGUUGGAUGUGAAAUCCCCGGGCUCAACCUGGGAACUGCAUUCAAAACUGACUGACUAGAGUAUGGUAGAGGGUGGUGGAAUUUCCUGUGUAGCGGUGAAAUGCGUAGAUAUAGGAAGGAACACCAGUGGCGAAGGCGACCACCUGGACUAAUACUGACACUGAGGUGCGAAAGCGUGGGGAGCAAAACAGGAUUUAGAUACCCUGGUAGUCCACGCCGUAAACGAUGUCAACUAGCCGUUGGAAGCCUUGAGNUUAGUGNGCNGCACGACAUAGUUAGACGCGNGGAGGUAACGGCGCGAGUUAAAGUANAAUUAGAGUUGAGGCGNGAGACCGACGACGACGACGAGGAGAGG